CGGGGAGGUAGUGACGAAAAAUAACGAUACGGGACUCAUCCGAGGCCCCGUAAUCGGAAUGAGUACACUUUAAAUCCUUUAACGAGGACCAAUUGGAGGGCAAGUCUGGUGCCAGCAGCCGCGGUAAUUCCAGCUCCAAUAGCGUAUAUUAAAGUUGUUGCGGUUAAAAAGCUCGUAGUUGAAUCUGUGUGUCACAGUGUCGGUUCACCGCUCGCGGUGUUUAACUGGCAUUAUGUGGUACGUCCUACCGGUGGGCUUAGCUCCUCGCGGGCGGUCCAACUAAUAUCCCAUCGCGGUGCUCUUCACUGAGUGUCGAGGUGGGCCGGUACGUUUACUUUGAACAAAUUAGAGUGCUUAAAGCAGGCUACCUUCGCCUGAAUAUUCUGUGCAUGGAAUAAUGGAAUAGGACCUCGGUUCUAUUUUGUUGGUUUUCGGAACCCCGAGGUAAUGAUUAAUAGGGACAGAUGGGGGCAUUCGUAUUGCGACGUUAGAGGUGAAAUUCUUGGAUCGUCGCAAGACGGACAGAAGCGAAAGCAUUUGCCAAAAAUGUUUUCAUUAAUCAAGAACGAAAGUUAGAGGUUCGAAGGCGAUCAGAUACCGCCCUAGUUCUAACCAUAAACGAUGCCAGCUAGCGAUCCGCCGAAGUUCCUCCGAUGACUCGGCGGGCAGCUUCCGGGAAACCAAAGCUUUUGGGUUCCGGGGGAAGUAUGGUUGCAAAGCUGAAACUUAAAGGAAUUGACGGAAGGGCACCACCAGGAGUGGAGCCUGCGGCUUAAUUUGACUC
Molecule: ribosomal RNA, 784 nt
Filed under: Epeolus scutellaris
Lineage: Eukaryota; Metazoa; Arthropoda; Insecta; Hymenoptera; Apidae
Also listed under: 6 other names
Description: SSU rRNA
Rfam family: Eukaryotic small subunit ribosomal RNA
Source: RNAcentral